This 198-nucleotide ribosomal RNA is filed under the name uncultured bacterium. RNAcentral's name for it is "partial 16S ribosomal RNA". It matches the Rfam family "Bacterial small subunit ribosomal RNA", at positions 328 to 539 of the family's 1533-position model. The record is from RNAcentral.
ACGCUCGACACCUAUGGGAGGCAGCAGUGGGGAAUAUUGCACAAUGGGGGAAACCCUGAUGCAGCAACGCCGCGUGAAGGAAGACGGUUUUCGGAUUGUAAACUUCUGUUCUUAGUGAAGAUAGUGACGGUAGCUAAGGAGCAAGCCACGGCUAACUACGUACCAGCAGCCGCGGUAAUCUGAGCGGGCUGGCAAGGC